CCUACGGGAGACUGCAGUGAGGAAUAUUGGUCAAUGGGCGCGAGCCUGAACCAGCCAAGUAGCGUGAAGGAUGACUGCCCUACGGGUUGUAAACUUCUUUUAUAAAGGAAUAAAGUGAGGCACGUGUGCCCUUUUGCAUGUACUUUAUGAAUAAGGAUCGGCUAACUCCGUGCCAGCAGCCGCGGUAAUACGGAGGAUCAGAGCGUUAUCCGGAUUUAUUGGGUUAAAAGGGGGGGUAGGCGGGCUUUUAAGUCAGCGGUAAAAAUUCGGGGCUCAACCCCGUCCUGCCGUUGAAACUGGGGGCCUUGAGUGGGCGAGAAGAAGGCGGAAUGCGUGGUGUAGCGGUGAAAUGCAUAGAUAUCACGCAGAACCCCGAUUGCGAAGGCAGCCUUCCGGCGCCCAACUGACGCUGAGGCACGAAAGUGCGGGGAUCGAACAGGAUUAGAUACCCUUGUAGUC
This 459-nucleotide ribosomal RNA is filed under the name uncultured bacterium. RNAcentral describes it as "partial 16S ribosomal RNA". It matches the Rfam family "Bacterial small subunit ribosomal RNA", at positions 338 to 795 of the family's 1533-position model. The record is from RNAcentral.